AAAAACUUUUAUUAUUCAUUUGAUAGAUCUCAAAUUCCAUUUUUCCAGUUGAAAUUUUCUUAUAGUUUAACAAGAGUUAAGACCCCCCCCCCCCAAAAGAACCAACACACCACUAACUAAUUUUACCUCUAACUAUAUUUAAUCACGUGAAAUCUACUCUUGCAGUUGUUCCAUGUGAAGUCCAAGGUGUAACAGAUCUGGUUUGGCUAGCGUGAAGAACUUUAAAGUUAAACAGUCAUGUUUGAGUGCCAGCUGCUCCUUAGAGACUUUGGAUUUAUAAUUCAAUAUUCAUACACGAUAAAGAGAACUCUGCUUGAAGCACUGUGACCUCUAAAAUGAUUAUAUAAAGUGUAUCCUCUGAGAAGCCUUGGUGCGCACAAUGUCCUAACUAAAAACAACACGCUAAACAGAAAACACAUUACAGUGAUGAAAAUCUGCCAAACAAGAAGGAAUGCGAAUUUAUUACAUCCUUGGUAAAAUAGGAUUAAAUCAUUAGACUAAGCACAGCAACGCAUUUGUGAGUGUAUCCAUAUAUAAUUAGGACAAUAACUGCUGGAUAAAGAACCACUCACUCCUAAUGGUGGACUCCCAGGACAUUGGUGUUCAUAGUGGGGAAACAACCAAACAGGAACAUAGCUCCAGAUUUGGCAUAUAAAAAACAAAACAAAAAAAAACUGCUUUAUGGUAUGGUAUCCAAUGUAAAAAUAGUUUAUCUACCUUUUAUUUCUUCUGUACUAUACAGUUUGCUGCUGAUUUUUAUGCUUUAAUUUAUGAUGCUAUAAAGCAGUCACAUAGACUAACUAGAGGGAAACCCAUAUAAUCUAUUCUAUCACAUCUACUCCAUCCCAGUCAGCGUCUACUACAGCUAUGGUUUUGGGCUGAAAUGGUUCUUUAUCUGCACUUUUAUCCAUUACGAACAUAGCAGAGCAGUGCUAAAGACCUAGUCCCUAACACUGCCUUUCAUCCUUAAUGGGCAUCAUCGUCAUCAUCAAGCGACCAAUUUCUGUCGAACUGCAUGGUGAGGCUGGAAUGGUGUACAUGUUCAAUUUACAAUACCAGUUUUCGAAAAAGUAAUUAAACUAUGCAUCUGUGGAUACAAUAAGGUCAACAGGUCAUAUCACAAGCCAAAUAUACGUAUAAAGUGGACCAGUGGCGGCUCUAGACUUUGUGAGGCCUUAGGCGAAACUCAAACAUGAGGCCCCCACUAACACCUAAAGUUAAAAAUAGGGGUUGCAUUGUGUGUAUAAGGUGCUGUAGUUGUAGCUAGUCUCUGUAUUCAUCGUUCAGAGGCUUGCAGUGUCGCGGCUCCCUGUGCCGCUGCAUUGUGAUCUCUCUGACUGUAGUUAUGGCAUAAUAUGCAAACUAACUUAAUUUGCAAUAAACAAAUUUAAUUAGCAAUUAUGCCAAUCGUUUAUACAUGACUGAGGGGUAUGUAUAUAUGACUGUAUCACAUUGUCUACCUAUGUGUGACAGGGUUUGGGGUGUGUUGCACAGUUGGAGUACAGGAUUGUAAGGGUUUAUGUAAUAGGGUGAGUGUGGCAGGGUGAAGGGGGUGAGUGGGACAGACUGAUAGAGGAUGAGUGACAGGGUCGGGGGGUGAGUGUGACAGUGCAAGAGAAGGUGAGUCUGACAGGGUUGAUGGGGGGGUUAAUGCAUUAGGGUAGGUGUGGCAAAGCAAGGAGUUUGGUAUGGGUGCAGUGGUUGAGAGUGACAGGAUUAGGAGGGGUUAUGUAAGUUUGGCCAGGUUUAGGGGGCGACUGUGUGUGGGGUCUGAAAGUGUUUGGGAAUGGUGAUAGUGUAUGUGAAGGGGGUGUCGGUGUGUGUGGUAAUGAUAGGGUAUGGGUGGGGAAUGACAAGGUGUGCGGUGGAAGGAUGUGACAGCGUGUGUUUGUGGGAAGGCUGUGAUUGGAUGGGUGUGGGGUGACAGUAGGGGAGCUGUGAGAGGGUGGGGGAGGGGCGGUAGGGGGCUUUGACAGGGUAGGAGGUGGUGGGGGACUGUGACAGGGUAGGAGGUGGUGGGAGACUGACAGGACAAGGGGUAGUGGGGGGGCUGGAGCAGGGGGGCUGUGACAGGGUAGUGGGGUGGUAGGAGGACAGUAGGAGGCAGAGGGUGGUGCUGUGGCUGGGGCAGAGGGUGGUAGGGUGGCUGGGGCAGUGCGUUGCCGUGGUAACCCACGGCAACGCUCUGAUUGGGUGAGAUCGAGAGACCCUCUCAGUCUGCAGCUCUGCGCUCGGCAGAGCUGCAGACAGGCUGGCUCUCUCCCGGGCAGGCAUAGGAGGGGCCUUGCACCUGGCGGCAUUAAGGGCAAGCCGCCGGGCCCCCUCCUGUGUCGGGUCCUCUGUCUGUGACCGAGGACCCGAUCUAUCACACUGCCCUAAGGCGAUUUAGGCGGCCGCGAGGCCCCCAUCAGCGCGAGGCCUUAGGCGGCCGCCUAAAUCGCCUAAUUAGAGAGCUGCCUCUGAAGUGGACCGCAAAUCUAAAGUGACGCCUAAUUGGCAUGUUUCUAGACAGAAUGUCUAGGUGGCUGGGGCAGAGGGUGACUGGGGCAGUGGUGGUAGGGUGGCUGGGGCAGUGGUGGUGGGGCGGCUGGGGCAGUGGUGGUGGUGGCUGGGGCGGUGGUGGUGGCGGCAGAGGCUGGCUGGGGCUGCAGGUGGUAGGUGGUGGCUGGGGCAGAGGGUGGCUGGGGCAGGGUGGUGGGGUGGCUGGGGCGGUGGUGGUAGCUGGGGCAGAGGGUGGCUGGGGCAGAGGGUGGUAGGAGGGCAGGGCAUAAAUACCUGGGGAUUAAUUUGUUCCCUGGAGAUCCAGUGGGUGGCAAGGCUGUAGCCCUGGUGGUCCGGUGGGCUCCCUUUAUGGUCUGCAGCUCCGCCGGGUGCAGAGCUGCAGACCACAUGGUAAGUUUAGUCUCGCGAUCUCAGCCAGUCAGAGCGUUGCCGUGGUAACCCGCGGCAACGCUCUGAUUGGGUGAGAUCGAGAGACCCUCUCAGUCUGCAGCUCUGUGCUCGGCGGAGCUGCAGACAGGCUGGCUCUCUCCUGGGCAGGCAUAGGAGGGGCCUCGCACCUGGCGGCAUUAAGGGCAAGCCGCCGGGCCCCCUCCUGUGUCGGGUCCUCUGUCUGUGACCGAGGACCCGAUCUAUCACACUGCCCUAAGGCGAUUUAGGCGGCCGCGAGGCCCCCAUCAGCGCGAGGCCUUAGGCGGCCGCCUAAAUCGCCUAAUUAGAGCCGCCUCUGAAGUGGACCACAAAUCUAAAGUGACGCCUAAUUGGCAUGUUUCUAGACAGAAUGUCUAGGCUGAAGGAAUAAUGUGUGGGGAGUCAGG
Molecule: long non-coding RNA, 3317 nt
Filed under: Pelobates cultripes (western spadefoot toad)
Lineage: Eukaryota; Metazoa; Chordata; Amphibia; Anura; Pelobatidae
Source: RNAcentral